CCGACACAAAAAGUAGGGGUGGAUUGUAGCAGGUUGGCCCUGCCAUCACGUUAGUGUGUGUGAUUGACAGCUGCUGAUUGACAGCAGUGGGCGGGCAUAAUCUAUUUAUAUGAAUGGACGCUUGCUUCCGGUCUCGUUUCCGUCACUCAUUGUUUUGGCGUGAGCCUGGGCUGCGUUGGUUGCCGAGGGGCCGCAGAUGAAUCGUGAGGGUAAGCAUUUGGUCUGUAGUAUUUACUUGCAAUUGCGGUUGUGAUUUGGAAAUUAUAGCGCCAUUUCCCUCUUGCAGUGCGGCGUUCACUCAGCACUUGUGAUCGCUUGGGAGCGCACUGAUAAACUCCAAGGAGCUAGGAGCUGUGUGGACACUGGUUGGCCUGCUCGUGGAAGUAGUUGGUGUGGCGUGGUGAUCCUCGAAAGCGUUGUGCUGGUGACUCGCGUGUCUGAGCCUUCAUCCGCGGCCCCUCCGGCACGAACCAACCAGUGUGUCUGUGCCUACGGGUCUGUCGGCUGCUGUUUCGCCUGGGACAAUUUGGGUUUGAGUCUCCCCUUGCUUUGCACCUGCAGCGCUGUGGCUUGGCCGUGCUUCGCUGGGUACGGGGAGGAAUUGCGCUUGUAGCCACGCUUGCCCCUUCACCUCGCUUUGCCUGCACGGAGCGUGCAUGUCUGUCGCAACUGUCCGAGGGUGCGCGGUUUCAGUGGCUCCGCCUGCUUUUAACCCCUUUUGUGCUGUGCGUUAUUUAUUUUCAUUUCAUUUAUUUCUGCAUGCUUAUUUGUUUGCUGUGCUUCUGCAUGCUGCUUACUCUGCUAGGUUUGCUGCUUUGCAUGACUCUUCAACUGCUUGUGUGCCAGUGUAGCUAGACCCUGUUAUUCAGGGCUUUAUAUGUGUGCAGUGCUUCUUUUGUUUAUUUAUGUUUCUUUUCAGUUUACUUAUUUGUGUGUUUCUGUGCUUUUGAUUAAUUUACUACUUUUGCAUUUCAUGUGUUUGUUUGGGGUUAAUGUGGGAUUGGGGAAAAUUAAGACUGCCAGCCUCUCCAGCAGUUUGGAGUGUGUCAAGGGCGUGUGAGUGAUGUGAGUGAUAACGUGUAUUGUUUUAUAGUGUGGUGGAACAUGGUAUAUAGUGCAUCGACAGCCUGGUGGUAGAAGGAAGUUCCUGCGUGUGCACACGAUAUAAGAUAAGUAGUACUGCAGAUCCAUAUAGGUUUAGUGAUCUCAGUAGUGCCCCAGGCUGUUUCUCUCUAUCUCUCUCUAUCUCUCUCUAUCUCUCUCUGUCUCUCUCUAUC
Engraulis encrasicolus (European anchovy) is the source of this 1277-nucleotide long non-coding RNA. RefSeq lists it as uncharacterized. Lineage: Eukaryota; Metazoa; Chordata; Actinopteri; Clupeiformes; Engraulidae. The transcript is spliced from 3 exons. The record is from RefSeq and is a predicted model, not a curated record.